Peromyscus eremicus (cactus mouse) is the source of this 161-nucleotide small nuclear RNA. RefSeq annotates it as U1 spliceosomal RNA. The record is from RefSeq and is a predicted model, not a curated record. The transcript has a single exon. Lineage: Eukaryota; Metazoa; Chordata; Mammalia; Rodentia; Cricetidae.
AUACUUACCUGGCAGGGGAGAUACCAUGAUCACGAAGGUGGUUUUCCCAGGGCGAGGCAUAUCUAUUGCACUCCAGAUGUGCUGACCCCUGCAAUUUCCUCAAAUGCAGGAAACUAGCCUGCAUAAUUUGUGGUAGUGGGACUGAGCUCAUGCUCUCCUCU